RNAcentral lists this ribosomal RNA (403 nucleotides) under bacterium. RNAcentral describes it as "partial 16S ribosomal RNA". It matches the Rfam family "Bacterial small subunit ribosomal RNA", at positions 355 to 776 of the family's 1533-position model. The record is from RNAcentral.
UGGGGAAUAUUGCACAAUGGGGGAAACCCUGAUGCAGCGACGCCGCGUGAACGAAGAAGGUAUUCGUAUCGUAAAGCUCUGUCCUAUGGGAAGAUAAUGACAGUACCAUAGAAGAAAGCUCCGGCUAAAUACGUGCCAGCAGCCGCGGUAAUACGUAUGUAGCGAGCGCUGUCCGGAAUUAUUGGGCGUAAAGGGUACGCAGGCGGUUUAAUAAGUCGAAUGUUAAAGAUCGGGGCUCAACCCCGUAAAGCAUUGGAAACUGAUAAACUUGAGUAGUGGAGAGGAAAGUGGAAUUCCUAGUGUAGUGGUGAAAUACGUAGAUAUUAGGAGGAAUACCAGUAGCGAAGGCGACUUUCUGGACACAAACUGACGCUGAGGUACGAAAGCGUGGGGAGCAAACAGG